Molecule: non-coding RNA, 72 nt
Organism: Phrynosoma platyrhinos (Desert horned lizard)
Lineage: Eukaryota; Metazoa; Chordata; Lepidosauria; Squamata; Phrynosomatidae
Source: the annotation of a GenBank genome assembly
GCCAGUGUGGUGUAGUGGUUUGAGUGUUUGGCUGUGACUCUGGAUACCAGGGUUUGAAUCCCAGCUUGGCCA